AUUGAACGCUGGCGGCAGGCCUAACACAUGCAAGUCGAACGGUAGCACAGAGAGCUUGCUCUCGGGUGACGAGUGGCGGACGGGUGAGUAACGUCUGGGAAACUGCCCGAUGGAGGGGGAUAACUACUGGAAACGGUAGCUAAUACCGCAUAACGUCGCAAGACCAAAGCGGGGGACCUUCGGGCCUCACACCAUCGGAUGUGCCCAGAUGGGAUUAGCUAGUAGGUGGGGUAAUGGCUCACCUAGGCGACGAUCCCUAGCUGGUCUGAGAGGAGGACCAGCCACACUGGAACUGAGACACGGUCCAGACUCCUACGGGAGGCAGCAGUGGGGAAUAUUGCACAAUGGGCGCAAGCCUGAUGCAGCCAUGCCGCGUGUAUGAAGAAGGCCUUCGGGUUGUAAAGUACUUUCAGCGGGGAGGAAGGCGGUGGAGUUAAUAACUUCACCGAUUGACGUUACCCGCAGAAGAAGCACCGGCUAACUCCGUGCCAGCAGCCGCCGCCG
RNAcentral lists this ribosomal RNA (504 nucleotides) under uncultured bacterium. RNAcentral describes it as "partial 16S ribosomal RNA". It matches the Rfam family "Bacterial small subunit ribosomal RNA", at positions 29 to 523 of the family's 1533-position model. The record is from RNAcentral.